CGGACGGGUGAGUAACGCGUGAACAAUCUGCCCGAAGGAAGGGGAUAGCCCAUGGAAACGUGGAUUAAUACCCUGUGUGAUUGUUGGGAGGCAUCUUCUGACAAUGAAAGGCGCUUUACGGUGCCGCCUUCGGAUGAGUUCGCGGCCUAUCAGCUAGUUGGCGGGGUAAUGGCCCACCAAGGCUACGACGGGUAGCUGGUCUGAGAGGAUGACCAGCCACACUGGAACUGAGACACGGUCCAGACACCUACGGGUGGCAGCAGUCGAGAAUCAUUCACAAUGGGCGAAAGCCUGAUGGUGUGACGCCGCGUGGAGGAUUAAGGUCUUCGGAUUGUAAACUCCUGUCAAGUGAGAGUAAAUUUGCGCGUUAACUGCGUCGCAAACUGAGAGUAUCACUAGAGGAAGAGACGGCUAACUCUGUGCCAGCAGCCGCGGUAAUACAGAGGUCUCAAGCGUUGUUCGGAAUCACUGGGCGUAAAGGGUGCGUAGGCUGUGUUGUAAGUCAGAGGUGAAAUCCCGGGGCUCAACCCCGGAACUGCCUCCGAUACUGCAAGACUUGAGGACUGGAGAGGAGAUUGGAAUUCAUGGUGGAGCAGUGAAAUGCGUAGAUAUCAUGAGGAACGCUAGUGGCGUAGGCGAAUCUCUGGACAGUUCCUGACGCUGAGGCACGAAGGCUAGGGGAGCAAAAGGGAUUAGAUACCCCAGUAGUC
This 710-nucleotide ribosomal RNA is filed under the name uncultured bacterium. RNAcentral's name for it is "bacterial SSU rRNA". It matches the Rfam family "Bacterial small subunit ribosomal RNA", at positions 99 to 795 of the family's 1533-position model. The record is from RNAcentral.